CUUUACUGCCACUACUUCCAUAUCCAAAACUCAAUAGAUAUAUCACGAGACACACCUUCCUUUUGAAACCUAUGAAACCAUGUUUGAAAAUAUCGCCAUUUCCACUUCAUCAUCUAGUUACUGUAUUUUCUUCAAUUCGAUAUUUUGUCGAGUCUUUUUGUUGUUCUAGAGAUGGUUAUUGGUAAUUUUGUAGGAGGAGAAGAUGCGGAAGUAAAUAAAGAUGGAAAGAAGAAAUUCAUCACUAAAGAACAAGAACCAUAACAGUAUUGGCAAACAGUAUGGGAAAGGGAAGGGGAGAAUCUAAUGAUGAACAACAUUGAAAUUAGAGAGAUGGAAAUAGGAAUAGAGUUGAAUCGAUUACCUAAUGCGUGCGUGAUGCGUUUGCAUGCGAUAAUAGAAGCAAAUAGGAGCCUGCGAUCGAAAGGAAGUAUUAACAGGGAAGCUACAACAACAUGAGAUAGGGAUAGGGAAGCUACGAUCUUAAAGCUCCUAUGAACAUGAUUGUUGUAUUGAAAUUUACAAGUGAGGGCAAUGUUGUCUAUUUAAAAUGGGUUUUUAAUUAUAA
This is a long non-coding RNA of Lactuca sativa (garden lettuce), 565 nucleotides long. RefSeq lists it as uncharacterized. Lineage: Eukaryota; Viridiplantae; Streptophyta; Magnoliopsida; Asterales; Asteraceae. The record is from RefSeq and is a predicted model, not a curated record.